UACGUAGGGUGCAAGCGUUAAUCGGAAUUACUGGGCGUAAAGCGUGCGCAGGCGGUUUUGUAAGUCUGUCGUGAAAUCCCCGGGCUUAACCUGGGAAUGGCGAUGGAGACUGCAAGGCUAGAGUUUGGCAGAGGGGGGUAGAAUUCCAGGUGUAGCGGUGAAAUGCGUAGAUAUCUGGAGGAACACCGGUGGCGAAGGCGGCAUCCUGGACCGGCAUUGACGCUGAGGCGCGAAAGCUAGGGGAGCAAACGGG
Molecule: ribosomal RNA, 253 nt
Filed under: uncultured bacterium
Lineage: Bacteria
Description: partial 16S ribosomal RNA
Rfam family: Bacterial small subunit ribosomal RNA
Source: RNAcentral